This 90-nucleotide transfer RNA is filed under the name Myxococcales bacterium. Its description in RNAcentral is "tRNA-Ser". It matches the Rfam family "tRNA". Rfam says of the family: Transfer RNA (tRNA) molecules are approximately 80 nucleotides in length. Their secondary structure includes four short double-helical elements and three loops (D, anti-codon, and T loops). The record is from RNAcentral. Lineage: Bacteria; Pseudomonadati; Myxococcota; Myxococcia; Myxococcales.
GGAGCGGUGGCCGAGUGGCUGAAGGCGCACGCCUGCUAAGCGUGUAUAGGAGCAAUCCUAUCCCGGGUUCGAAUCCCGGUCGCUCCGCCA